AAUAUGGGGAAUGUUUGACUUCUCUCUUCCAUGUGUUUUACAGACCAGCUUUUGAUUAUGCUGAUGCCUACUCAGGUGCCAAUGCUGAGCCAGGUGCUACUGGCUGAAGAAAUAAAGGAAAAAGGGCCAUGCCCAGGCAAACACAAGCUAUGAGAAUGCGAUGUUGCAUUAAAAUGACAUCAGUCUAAUGGCACUGGCCAAUACGCAAUAAUUAGCUGGUGGGCAGCAGGAGGUCAUCAUUCAGCUCUGCUUCACAGAGCUGUGUGUGCCUCUGAACUGGGGCUUUGGCCUUGGACGCCUUCCCAGAAGAGCUCUAGUGGGACAGAAGCCCCUUGAUUUAAGGCUGGCAGGGGUACCUAGGUGCCUGGACCCUAUAUUAAUUUAGCUGAUAUAGUGCAAGUAUCUGCAUGACUGAGUUUGUGGGCUUCAUCAACAUGAGCAAUGAUCACUGAUACUUGUAAAUUAAGGCAAUCCACAUGAUUGCAUUGCAAGGUAAUUUGAAAAAAAAAAAAUUAUAUAUAUAUAUAUAUAUAUUUGCUCUUACAGGGUUAGGAUCUUAGUCCCUAUCUUUGUGAGUUUUUAGAAGAUACUUUGUGAGAUUCAAUAAGCUUCUUAAGUAAUAUGUUAUCCUUCACAGACCCAAUCAUUGACACUUUUGUAACAAGCUUGAAUUGACUCCAUUACAGAUUUUUCAACAAAAUCACUGUAGUAUAGUUUAAAAGAAGAACAGGGCUUUUUACAGGGCUUGGAGUUUUUGUGUUUUAAAUAGAGAGUAGUUUUAAUACCUAUCAAUUGCAAGAACAACAUCCAUUUGAAACAGCAUGGAAUACAUGGAAUAGAUAUUUUAAAACAGACACAAUUUGCGUGAGCCCCAAACCUGAGAUUCCAAAUACAAUCUAAGUCAAACACCUUAGCAAAAUGUUGUUCUUGCUCCAUCUGAACCUGGAGGUAAUCAAAAGAUUGAAGACUGUCCCCCAGGAAGGUAAAAUCUCUGCUCCUAUUCAAACUAUUCAAGAAACAGGGGAACUGGUAGACCUGCUGUUCCUCCUUUGCAACAAAGAAUGGGACUUCUGUUACGUUGAAACAUUUGGAAAUUAGAUUAAAAGAUUUUGCAGAUGAUCCAGUCAUUAGCAAUGCAGGAAUUUUUAAU
Molecule: non-coding RNA, 1150 nt
Organism: Anas platyrhynchos (mallard)
Lineage: Eukaryota; Metazoa; Chordata; Aves; Anseriformes; Anatidae
Source: RefSeq, a predicted model, not a curated record